This 215-nucleotide long non-coding RNA is filed under the name Brassica rapa (field mustard). Its description in RNAcentral is "long non-coding RNA (BRAP_LNC008180)". Lineage: Eukaryota; Viridiplantae; Streptophyta; Magnoliopsida; Brassicales; Brassicaceae. The record is from RNAcentral.
UUUGACAGCGAGAUUAAUCGAUCCAUAGGCAAUGGUUGUUUACCCCGAAAGUCCCAGCAGUGGGCUUGGGCAUUUCGUGACUUUGGAUUGAUUGAUCCCCAUCUUUUCGAGAGUGUCUUUGAAGAUGAUAUCGGCCGAACUUCCGGUAUCGAUUAGUACCCUAGCGACGUCGAUAUCUCUAAUCGCCAACUCGAUAACAAGGAGAUCGUUUCGAG